AUUGAACGCUGGCGGCAGGCUUAACACAUGCAAGUCGAGCGGGGGAAGGUAGCUUGCUACUGGGCCUAGCGGCGGACGGGUGAGUAAUGCUUAGGAAUCUGCCUAUUAGUGGGGGACAACAUCUCGAAAGGGAUGCUAAUACCGCAUACGUCCUACGGGAGAAAGCAGGGGAUCUUCGGACCUUGCGCUAAUAGAUGAGCCUAAGUCGGAUUAGCUAGUUGGUGGGGUAAAGGCCUACCAAGGCGACGAUCUGUAGCGGGUCUGAGAGGAUGAUCCGCCACACUGGGACUGAGACACGGCCCAGACUCCUACGGGAGGCAGCAGUGGGGAAUAUUGGACAAUGGGGGGAACCCUGAUCCAGCCAUGCCGCGGGUGUGAAGAAGGCCUUAUGGUUGUAAAGCACUUUAAGCGGGGAGGAGGCUACUCUAGUUAAUACCUAGGGAUAGUGGACGUUACUCGCAGAAUAAGCACGGGCUAACUCUGUGCCAGCCGCCGCAGUAA
This 501-nucleotide ribosomal RNA is filed under the name uncultured bacterium. RNAcentral describes it as "partial 16S ribosomal RNA". It matches the Rfam family "Bacterial small subunit ribosomal RNA", at positions 30 to 523 of the family's 1533-position model. The record is from RNAcentral.